CAGUCGCCACGGUAAUACGAAGGGUGCAAGCGUUAAUCGGAAUUACUGGGCGUAAAGCGCACGCAGGCGGUUUGUUAAGUCAGAUGUGAAAUCCCCGAGCUUAACUUGGGAACUGCAUUUGAAACUGGCAAGCUAGAGUCUUGUAGAGGGGGGUAGAAUUCCAGGUGUAGCGGUGAAAUGCGUAGAGAUCUGGAGGAAUACCGGUGGCGAAGGCGGCCCCCUGGACAAAGACUGACGCUCAGGUGCGAAAGCGUGGGGAGCAAACAGGAUUAGAUACCCCUGUAGUCCCUGUCUCUUAUAC
Molecule: ribosomal RNA, 301 nt
Filed under: uncultured bacterium
Lineage: Bacteria
Description: partial 16S ribosomal RNA
Rfam family: Bacterial small subunit ribosomal RNA
Source: RNAcentral